GGUCUUGUGUUGUAGCGGUAACAUGUCCUCAGUUAAUGGGUGGGAAUUUGUGUAUGAGGAAGUCCCUUGUUCGAGUCAAGGCGAGGUCA
This is a non-coding RNA of Mycena leptocephala, 89 nucleotides long. The record is from the annotation of a GenBank genome assembly. Lineage: Eukaryota; Fungi; Basidiomycota; Agaricomycetes; Agaricales; Mycenaceae.